Molecule: ribosomal RNA, 355 nt
Filed under: uncultured bacterium
Lineage: Bacteria
Description: bacterial SSU rRNA
Rfam family: Bacterial small subunit ribosomal RNA
Source: RNAcentral
GGACCCGCACAAGUAGUGGAGCAUGUGGUUUAAUUCGAAGAUACGCGCAGAACCUUACCAACACUUGACAUGUUCGUCGCGACUUUAAGAGAUUAAAGUUUUCGGUUCGGCCGGACGAAACACAGGUGCUGCAUGGCUGUCGUCAGCUCGUGUCGUGAGAUGUUGGUUAAGUCCCGCAACGAGCGCAACCCUCACUUUUAGUUGCCAUCAUUUAGUUGGGCACUCUGAAAGAACUGCCAGUGAUAAGCUGGAGGAAGGUGGGGAUGACGUCAAGUCCUCAUGGCCCUUACGUGUUGGGCUACACACGUGCUACAAUGGUAUCUAACAAACAGGAAGCAAAAACUGCGAGGUUAAG